UACUGUGCAAAAUUGGUCUUACUCCUUGGUAGGUAGAUAAGUGUAUAGCAUUCAGCCUAGGUGACUUUGGAAAGACCAUUCUUUCUCAGCCAAAUGUACAGGGUAACAAAGAGGCUACAUAUGGAUGCCUUAGUAGCACAGUCACCUAGUAUAAAAUGUUUCAGAAAGCCCCUCAGGACCCACUUCUUCCUGGAAUAGAAAUGUAGCAUUGAAGUGACUGGCUCGUCCGUGAAGGAACUGGGGGCGGCGACGGUCGACAGGGAGCUCUGGCGUGAACUGGUCCAUGAGGUCACGAAGAGUCGGAAACGACUGAACGAGUGAGACGACGAUUACAAGGAAAAGUCAUAAAUGUAUCUGCAGUCUUAUUGUUAAAAUUGGGUAUGUAUUUUAGCCACAAGAGGGAGCUACUGGCAUGUUGUAUCACUUUAAGAUUGCUAGGUUUCCUUUAACAACUAGGGAUAUCUGGAGCAGAAAGCGAUUGUCACAUGAAAGUUGCGAAUUGGCAUUGGAGCAGGACUGUCAUCAAUAUGUAGGGUGCUUUGCACAGCUGGUCUUCCAUCUUCCUGCAACAAAUCUAUCCCCUGUCAUAAUUUACUUGUUGUGAGGAGUCAGGAUCCAUUUCUGUGCCAGCAUACCACCACAAAAGUGACAUCAGAGAGUAAGAUUGUCCAGUACUCCAACUCUCCCCCACUCCUCCUUGCACUUGUGGAGUGUGCUGCAAAUCAGAAGUACAGCCACGGGACCACGCAUCAGCAAAAUGGCACAGUUGCACAACGUAUGGAGAUGUGCAAUGGCAGGAGCCAUAAUCCUCUUAAGUUGCUGCUGUCCUUCAUCAUGCUAAUGCUAUGAGAUAACGGCUUAUGCAAUAAAGUCCCUAGAGAGAACAAAAGGUAGCAAGCAGGUGGAGUCUCCGUCUAGUUUCAGAUGUGAUUGGAUUUCUGUGCCAAGGAAAGACAGUACAUACAUAUUAUUCAUAUUGUACGACUCCUGAAUCAGCAGGAUCAAUAUCCAGGAUUUCAUUUGGCUACAUUCAACAAAAUAAAUCUUUAGGUGUUUCCUAGAUCUUCCAGGGUGACUGUAUGGUAUACUUGGCUAGAAGUUCUUCAUUUAAUAAGGUUCGCUAUUUUCUAUGGCUUUGUGUAUCCACACAAAAUCCAGAAAUGUAUCCCUUGCAGAUAUGGGGUCAUACUGUACAUUUCAUUAAUAAGUAAUAUCUUAACCAUUUUCUCAGAAGGUACUCAGUGCUGUGGUGUGAAACCAUAUCUGGAUCACAGCCACAGAGUCUAGCCAUGAAACAUAGAAGGGAUAAAAUAUCUUAGAUUAGAACCAUUUGAAAUACUAGAUAACUUUUCAGUCUGGCAGUCUAUCUCAUGCAGUUCACCGUCAGCUUAGUCAAAGGUUAUCUGGGUCAUCAUUCCCUAUCUCUUUUUCCACUGAAAAAGGUUCACCAAUCACUCUUGCCACAAUUAUAGUGAGAUCGCUUCCACCUCAACAUAUCUAAUUCCUGUUUUUUGCUUCCCUCAUUGCUUACAGAGAAGAAAGGUCAAUAUGAGAGAACUUUAUUCUGUUUACAAAUACAGGAGGGAUGACAGUGUGGGAAAACAGUCUUUCACAGAGAUUAGUUGCUGCAAGAUACUGUUUAUUGGCAAAGAUAGCACAGCACAUGAAGACAUAAGUCCUAAUAAAACACCCUGGCAUUUUGCUGUAUAGAAGCAGAGCUAAUGUUUACACUAGUGUGCAGGAUGCAUUUUUUAUUAUAAAUAUUUACAUGCCCAGUGUUUAUAGGCUUUGUGGGUGUCCAUCUCUCACAUAAACUGACACACUCCGAUCUUAAUAAGCGACCAGGCUGUGAAGGGUUCUUUUUAAGAAAUGGAUUUGAGUGUCUGGAUACAAAAAUCCAUACACCUCAGUACUUUCUUGAUCUGCAAGAGGAAGCACUUUUAUUUUUUUAAAUAGUUUUUAUUGGUAUUUUUCUCACAAAGUAGUUUUAUAUAUAAAAAAGAAAGGGGAUGGGAAGAAGAGAGAGGGAGGCCCAUAGAGAAAAGAAAAAAAGAGGGGGGUAGGGAAAGGUAAAAAAUAAGUUGAGAAAAGAGGAAAGACGAGGUACAAGAUGGGGGGGGGGGUGAAAUGGGUAAGGGAUAAGAGAUGAAAGGGGAAAAAUGCAGGGAUAAAAGGGGAAUCUGACAACUUCCAUUCUCGCUCUUCAAGGUAGUCAAAUUUCUUCAAUGUACAUUCUUCUUCCAGCACCUCCUUUUCAUCCUUUCCGCAUAUGAAUUCCUGUUCAUAUUCAUAACAUCAAGAAGUUUCAAGAUCCAGUCCUCUGUUGAUGGUGUUUCUUUGGUCAUCCAAUGUCUGGCGUAUGCUAUUCUCACCGCCAUCACCAUGUAAUUGAAUAAAAUAUCUUUAUUCUUA
Molecule: long non-coding RNA, 2412 nt
Organism: Anolis carolinensis (green anole)
Lineage: Eukaryota; Metazoa; Chordata; Lepidosauria; Squamata; Anolidae
Exons: 2
Source: RefSeq, a predicted model, not a curated record